CCCAGUAAACGGCGGCCGUAACUAUAACGGUCCUAAGGUAGCGAAAUUCCUUGUCAGGUAAGUUCUGACCCGCACGAAAGGCGUAACGAUUUGGGCGCUGUCUCAGCUGUAGACUCGGUGAAGUCUUAGUACCUGUGAAGAUGCAGGUUACCCGCGACUAGACGGAAAGACCCCAUGGAGCUUCACUGCAGGUUGAUAUUGGGAUUUGAUGCAGCAUGUACAGGAUAGGUAGGAGGCAAAGAGAUGGAUACGCCAGUAUUCAAGGAGCCGCUGUUGGGAUACUACCCCUGUUGUAUUGGAUUUCUAACCGGACGACGUAGAGCCGUUGACGGGACAGUGUCAGUCGGGCAGUUUGACUGGGGCGGUCGCCUCCCAAAGAGUAACGGAGGCGCCCAAAGAUACCCUCAGCUUGGAUGGAAACCAAGCGCAGAGUGCAAAGGCAAAAGGGUGUUUGACUGCGAGACCUACAAGUCGAGCAGGGACGAAAGUCGGGCUUAGUGAUCCGGCGGUGCUGAAUGGAAAGGCCGUCGCUCAACGGAUAAAAGCUACCCUGGGGAUAACAGGCUGAUCUCCCCCAAGAGUUCACAUCGACGGGGAGGUUUGGCACCUCGAUGUCGGCUCAUCGCAUCCUGGAGCUGAAGUCGGUUCCAAGGGUUGGGCUGUUCGCCCAUUAAAGCGGUACGCGAGCUGGGUUCAGAACGUCGUGAGACAGUUCGGUCCCUAUCUGUCGUGGGCGCAGGAAAUUUGAGAAGAGCUGUCCUCAGUACGAGAGGACCGGGAUGGACGCAUCAAUGGUGGACCAGUUGUCACGCCAGUGGCAUAGCUGGGUAGCUAAAUGCGGAAGGGAUAAACGCUGAAGGCAUCUAAGUGUGAAACCCACUUCAAGAUGAGAUUUCCCAUUGCGCAAGCAAGUAAGACCCCUUAAAGACGAUAAGGUAGAUAGGUCAGGAGUGUAAGCAUGGUGACAUGUUAAGCGGACUGAUACUAAUAGGUCGAGGGCUUGACCGA
RNAcentral lists this ribosomal RNA (1008 nucleotides) under human gut metagenome. Its description in RNAcentral is "bacterial LSU rRNA". It matches the Rfam family "Bacterial large subunit ribosomal RNA", at positions 1919 to 2925 of the family's 2925-position model. The record is from RNAcentral.